UACAGAGGUCCCAAGCGUUGUUCGGAUUCACUGGGCGUAAAGGGUGCGUAGGUGGUGAGGUAAGUCGGAUGUGAAAGCUCGGAGCUCAACUCCGAAAUGGCAUUGGAAACUACCUUGCUCGAGGGUUGGAGGGGGGACUGGAAUGCUUGGUGUAGCAGUGAAAUGCGUAGAUAUUCGGAAGAACACCAGUGGCGAAGGCGACUCACUGGACACGUAUUGACGCUGAGGUGCGAAAGCGUGGGGAGCAAGCAGG
RNAcentral lists this ribosomal RNA (253 nucleotides) under uncultured bacterium. RNAcentral's name for it is "partial 16S ribosomal RNA". It matches the Rfam family "Bacterial small subunit ribosomal RNA", at positions 524 to 776 of the family's 1533-position model. The record is from RNAcentral.